UACGGAGGGUGCGAGCGUUAAUCGGAAUUGCUGGGCGUAAAGCGCACACAGGCGGUUUGUUAAGCUAGAUGUGAAAGCCCCGGGCUCAACCUGGGAUGGUCAUUUAGAACUGGCAGACUAGAGUCUUGGAGAGGGGAGUGGAAUUCCAGGUGUAGCGGUGAAAUGCGUAGAUAUCUGGAGGAACAUCAGUGGCGAAGGCGACUCCCUGGCCAAAGACUGACGCUCAUGUGCGAAAGUGUGGGGAGCGAACAGG
RNAcentral lists this ribosomal RNA (253 nucleotides) under uncultured bacterium. RNAcentral's name for it is "partial 16S ribosomal RNA". It matches the Rfam family "Bacterial small subunit ribosomal RNA", at positions 524 to 776 of the family's 1533-position model. The record is from RNAcentral.